RNAcentral lists this ribosomal RNA (257 nucleotides) under uncultured bacterium. RNAcentral's name for it is "partial small subunit ribosomal RNA". It matches the Rfam family "Bacterial small subunit ribosomal RNA", at positions 26 to 291 of the family's 1533-position model. The record is from RNAcentral.
AGGAUAAACGCUGGCGGCGUGCCUAAUCAAUGCGAGUCGAACGGGGGUCCUUCGGGGCCCAGUGGCGUCCGGGUGAGUAACGCGUAGCUAACCUACCCAACUGUGGGGGAUACCCGUCAGAAAUGGCGGCUAAUACCGCAUGCGGUGACACUCCGGAGGGGGUGGCAUCAAAGCCGAGAGGUGCAGAUGGAGGGGGCUGCGUCUGAUUAGCUAGUCGGUGGGGUAACGGCCUACCGAGGCAACGAUCAGUAGCUGGU